RNAcentral lists this microRNA precursor (97 nucleotides) under Punica granatum (pomegranate). Its description in RNAcentral is "MIR390 microRNA precursor family". It matches the Rfam family "MIR390 microRNA precursor family". Lineage: Eukaryota; Viridiplantae; Streptophyta; Magnoliopsida; Myrtales; Lythraceae. The record is from Rfam by way of RNAcentral.
UUGGAGAAUCGAUGAAGCUCAGGAGGGAUAGCGCCAUGAUCAUAUGUAUGCUACUUAGCUGUGGCGCUAUCUAUCCUGAGUUUCACGGGUUCUCCUU